UGCCGGUCCCCUCGCGACGAUAUAUUGUGAACCCGGUCAGGUCCGGAAGGAAGCAGCCGCAGCAGUAGAUUCGUGCGCCGAGGUAGGGCGGGUACGG
RNAcentral lists this signal recognition particle RNA (97 nucleotides) under Gammaproteobacteria bacterium. RNAcentral describes it as "signal recognition particle sRNA small type". It matches the Rfam family "Bacterial small signal recognition particle RNA". From Rfam's summary of the family: The signal recognition particle (SRP) is a universally conserved ribonucleoprotein involved in the co-translational targeting of proteins to membranes. Archaeal SRP consists of a 7S RNA and homologues of the eukaryotic SRP19 and SRP54 proteins. Lineage: Bacteria; Pseudomonadati; Pseudomonadota; Gammaproteobacteria. The record is from RNAcentral.